RNAcentral lists this transfer RNA (73 nucleotides) under Kribbella antibiotica. Its description in RNAcentral is "tRNA-Arg". It matches the Rfam family "tRNA". From Rfam's summary of the family: Transfer RNA (tRNA) molecules are approximately 80 nucleotides in length. Their secondary structure includes four short double-helical elements and three loops (D, anti-codon, and T loops). RNAcentral also lists the same sequence under 3 other names. The record is from RNAcentral. Lineage: Bacteria; Bacillati; Actinomycetota; Actinomycetes; Propionibacteriales; Kribbellaceae.
GCCCCCAUAGCUCAGGGGAUAGAGCGUCGGUUUCCUAAACCGUGCGUCGCAGGUUCGAAUCCUGCUGGGGGCA